ACGGCCUACCAAGGCGAUGAUGCAUAGCCGAGUUGAGAGACUGAUCGGCCACAAUGGGACUGAGACACGGCCCAUACUCCUACGGGAGGCAGCAGUAGGGAAUCUUCCACAAUGGGCGCAAGCCUGAUGGAGCAACACCGCGUGAGUGAAGAAGGGUUUCGGCUCGUAAAGCUCUGUUGUUAAAGAAGAACACGUAUGAGAGUAACUGUUCAUACGUUGACGGUAUUUAACCAGAAAGUCACGGCUAACUACGUGCCAGCAGCCGCGGUAAUACGUAGGUGGCAAGCGUUAUCCGGAUUUAUUGGGCGUAAAGAGAGUGCAGGCGGUUUUCUAAGUCUGAUGUGAAAGCCUUCGGCUUAACCGGAGAAGUGCAUCGGAAACUGGAUAACUUGAGUGCAGAAGAGGGUAGUGGAACUCCAUGUGUAGCGGUGGAAUGCGUAGAUAUAUGGAAGAACACCAGUGGCGAAGGCGGCUACCUGGUCUGCAACUGACGCUGAGACUCGAAAGCAUGGGUAGCGAACAGGAUUAGAUACCCUGGUAGUCCAUGCCGUAAACGAUGAGUGCUAGGUGUUGGAGGGUUUCCGCCCUUCAGUGCCGGAGCUAACGCAUUAAGCACUCCGCCUGGGGAGUACGACCGCAAGGUUGAAACUCAAAGGAAUUGACGGGGGCCCGCACAAGCGGUGGAGCAUGUGGUUUAAUUCGAAGCUACGCGAAGAACCUUACCAGGUCUUGACAUCUUGCGCCAACCCUAGAGAUAGGGCGUUUCCUUCGGGAACGCAAU
RNAcentral lists this ribosomal RNA (781 nucleotides) under Limosilactobacillus fermentum. RNAcentral describes it as "bacterial SSU rRNA". It matches the Rfam family "Bacterial small subunit ribosomal RNA", at positions 260 to 1032 of the family's 1533-position model. The record is from RNAcentral. Lineage: Bacteria; Bacillati; Bacillota; Bacilli; Lactobacillales; Lactobacillaceae.